Molecule: ribosomal RNA, 77 nt
Filed under: Colletotrichum gloeosporioides
Lineage: Eukaryota; Fungi; Ascomycota; Sordariomycetes; Glomerellales; Glomerellaceae
Description: partial 28S ribosomal RNA
Source: RNAcentral
CAAUUUUCCAAAGGUUGACCUCGGAUCAGGUAGGAAUACCCGCUGAACUUAAGCAUAUCAAUAAGCCGGAGGAAAGA